Molecule: transfer RNA, 72 nt
Filed under: Bos taurus (domestic cattle)
Lineage: Eukaryota; Metazoa; Chordata; Mammalia; Artiodactyla; Bovidae
Also listed under: 2 other names
Rfam family: tRNA
About the family: Transfer RNA (tRNA) molecules are approximately 80 nucleotides in length. Their secondary structure includes four short double-helical elements and three loops (D, anti-codon, and T loops).
Source: Rfam by way of RNAcentral
UCCCUUGUAGCUCAGCUGGUAAAGAAUCCGCCUGCAGUGUGGAAGAUCUGGGUUCAAUUCCUGGGUUGGGAA